GAUGAACGCUGGCGGCGUGCCUAAUACAUGCAAGUCGAGCGAACGGACGAGAAGCUUGCUUCUCUGAUGUUAGCGGCGGACGGGUGAGUAACACGUGGAUAACCUACCUAUAAGACUGGGAUAACUUCGGGAAACCGGAGCUAAUACCGGAUGAUAUUUUGAACCGCAUGGUUCAAAAGUGAAAGACGGUCUUGCUGUCACUUAUAGAUGGAUCCGCGCUGCAUUAGCUAGUUGGUAAGGUAACGGCUUACCAAGGCAACGAUGCAUAGCCGACCUGAGAGGGUGAUCGACCACACUGGAACUGAGACACGGUCCAGACUCCUACGGGAGGCAGCAGUAGGGAAUCUUCCGCAAUGGGCGAAAGCCUGACGGAGCAACGCCGCGUGAGUGAUGAAGGUCUUCGGAUCGUAAAACUCUGUUAUUAGGGAAGAACAUAUGUGUAAGUAACUGUGAACAUCUUGACGGUACCUAAUCAGAAAGCCACGGCUAACUACGUG
RNAcentral lists this ribosomal RNA (497 nucleotides) under uncultured bacterium. RNAcentral describes it as "partial 16S ribosomal RNA". It matches the Rfam family "Bacterial small subunit ribosomal RNA", at positions 28 to 507 of the family's 1533-position model. The record is from RNAcentral.